RNAcentral lists this long non-coding RNA (655 nucleotides) under Anser brachyrhynchus (Pink-footed goose). RNAcentral describes it as "lncRNA (ENSABRG00000014325.1)". The record is from RNAcentral. Lineage: Eukaryota; Metazoa; Chordata; Aves; Anseriformes; Anatidae.
GGCCAAUGUAGAGACACAAUGCAUGGCAGAUCCACAGCUAGGUCCGUGACUACAGAUGGAAACCAAAGAUAAAGGGAAAUACAGGGCCUUGUGCCUGCAUAUAAAGGAUGUAAAGCUGCUUCCAAGGACAAUGAUUCUGUGGUUAAGCAGGCAGAAAUGGAGCAAGAAGGGGCUGUGAGAAGGCUUGCAGCCUAUCUGUAGGAGGUUCACUAGCUGUGGGAGAUCUGGCAUGGUCAGACAGUCCUGACUUAGCAUAAAGUUAGCUGGCACAAUGUUAGCUCAUCAACAUUUUUUUGAGUACUAUAAACUUACUUCACUGGCUCAAGUGUAAGUUUAUCAGCACUCUGCAUCGUGUAGUGGGAGUGUUCUUAUUCCAGCGGAGUCUGGAUUUAAUCUACAGCCAAACCAUAGACAUAGCCAGAGAGAGCUGUAACUGAACAAGAAAAUGAAUAAGUGCACUAGAGGCCCAUGCAACUAAACAGUGGACCUACUUUGAUGACCUCUGAAUCAUCUCGAAGAUAUUCUGGAGAACAAAAGUGCAUGAAGCAAUGCCCAGCUCAUCGGUUUAUAGAUCCGCUCUCUUUUAGCUGAAUCCCUGUUCUAAGAAGGUGCAACUUCCAGGCCUUGGAUAUCUGUUACUCAUCACUCAGAGAGA